CUGCAGCCAUUCUGCCAUCCGGCGCUUGUGCAGGUGCCUUCCGCGGAGUCAGUCUAGGAAACGUUUCCAGGCGCCUAGUCUUUGCAAUCAAAAGAAUCAGAAAUGUUGCUGAGGCCCUAAGAGGCAGUUCUGCACAGCUGCUCAAAACAGAAUCGGAGGAUGGAUGAUGGGGGAUAGUGUGUGCGGCUCUUUGCUGGCUAGGUCUCCUACCAGACUUUUAAAAAGUAGCACGUGAAGGUGUAUGGAGGUCAGCACACAGCGCUGCUUAGGACUCUUUCUUCACAGGAAGUGGCAUGCCUGCCUCAACCUCAGCCCUCAGCCAAUGCCUUCUGACUCCGAGCCGAGAGCCCUUCCUGACCUCGUGGCUGAGCGUCUCUGGCCUUCUCUGCAGCUCCUCAACGGUGUGGCAGCGCAGCGCAGGCCCUCCUGGCUGACCUUCAGAAAUCUGUUGAAAUCUUAAAAUAAGAAAACAGGGAAGCUUGCUGCAUCGAUUGACUCUUCCUUUCACGAAAGAUUUCUCUGUAGCGUGCAAUGCUAUGCACUGGAAAAAGAAAGAAAGAAAGAAAUCUGUUGAAAUCACUCGUUCGUUGCUGUUGACCCUCUCCACACCGUUGUCUUUGAGAACCUGGAUUGUACUUAUAGGCUUUAUUUCAUGGAGGCUUAUGGCAAACAGGUGGCAAGGGCAUAUGUCUACUCUGCCAUUUAACUCGGAGAGUUUUGCCUGCUUUUUAAGGUAUCUUUGAGUACUUAAUAUGGGCCUCUAUCUGAUCUUUGCACCCUGACUUUUCAUAACGGUACAGUGCACGUGAAAAAUUCUGUUCAGUCAAGCCUGAACUGCCUUCUGAACUCAGAUGCUCAUUUUUGAUUCAGUUUCUUUGCAGCCCUAGGAGGACCAUUCUUCUUCCUUUCUUCCCCUAUGUAUUUGAAUAAUUCAUCAAGGCCAAAUUAAUUCCAUUUCCUUCAUCAAGGUGAAUUCAGCUAAUUGUAGCAUUCUCCCUUCUCUGAACUAUAAUUGAACCAUUAUUACGUGAUAAAGACAUGUCUAUACUAGACAACCUGGUACUACAUAUACUUUUUGUUAUAUAAUUAUGUAUGUGUUCUAAUUAGUUAAGUAACACUCUACUAGAUUCUGGAAGUUAUUUAAGGCAUGUCACAUAUGUACUUAUGCAGUUAGAUUUACCUUGCUGAAACCAAUGUCUCUUUUAGGGCAUAGCAUGAUACUGGAGAUAUGGUAAAAUAUUAAUACACAAAUGUACAAUUUAUUCAUUACAAAAAAUUUACACUGCAAUCAACUACAUACACACGUUCUUUUUUACAAUUUUUUAAAUUAUACUUUAAGUUCUAGGAUACAUAUGCAGAACGUAGGGUUUGUUACAUAGGUACACACGUGCCAUGGUGGUUUGCUGCACCCAUCAACCUGUCAUCUACAUUAGGUGUUUCUCCUAAUGCUAUCCCUCCCCUAUCCCCCCACCCCCUGACACGCCCUGGUGUGUGAUGUUCCCCUCCCUGUGUCCAUGUGUUCUCACGGUUCAACUCCCACUUGUGAGCGAGAACAUGUGGUGUUUGACACAUACUUUCUUUUUACUUAUCUUGAUUAUUUUUCUUUUCCUAUCCUGAGUUUUCCAGACAAAAUAGCUAAAGAAGUCAAGAAAACCAAAGGAUAUUAAAACGAAAGUGGCAACAGACAACAAAAGGAAUUAGUAAUUGACACUCAUUGAAUCCUUCUUCUUUUCCUUAUUAUUUUUAUCAGUUGUGCUUAUCUUUACUUGUGCCACAGUGAGCACUAGGAUUCUUCCAUGGUAGGUUGGUGUGUAAUAGUUAAAUGAGCACUCAUAAUAUUUAGGCAUUUCAUAGUGUGUCAUCUUAAAUUAAUGUAAUUUUCAUAAAAUUUACAGUUUGAAUAUAUUCUAUAUGCUAUUUUAAUUUUUUUCUGAGAAAGAACUGUCUGCUGAGAAAUAGUGAAAUGAAACUCUUCAUUUUGAUGACUGGGAAAAGAGAUGGGAGUAGUGUCUCCACUGCCAGACAGACUGCAUCUCUGCUGCCAGACGUCCUGGGAUGUUGCUGUGGGUUUUUGACAGGCUUCUUGCACUAUUGAAGUCAAAUUCUUUCCUAGUAGCACACACCUUUCCAACACUAAUCUAUGUGAAAAAUAAGAAAACCUUUCUUCCUGUUGUUGGCUGGAGCACCCCUGCAUCUUUGAAACUAUUAUUUCGUUUGUUAGGCAGAAGCUCCUGGGCAGCUGCCAGCCUUCUCUAUGGUGUUUGAGCACUGACCCCUGAGCACGGUAUGUGACAUAUUAUUAAAGAAUUAUUAAAGACCAAUGGCAUGCUUUGGUCAUUUUUCUUAUCUAACAGUCAUAGUAAAACUGAAAACUAGAAAUUAUGAAUGACAAGAAGGGGAAAUUUAAAUUAGGGCCCCAAUUUACUUCUUUUUACUAUCAGUUUUGAUAAUUUAUUUUUCAUUAGCAGAGGUAUUUUACAUGAAUUUUCUUAGUCUUCCCUUCCUUUCUUCAGGGUGCAGGUUCAAACUUUAUCUAACAAUUAAUAUACAUUUUUAAUUAUCAUACGAUAAUGGUAAAACAUUAAUUAAAAAUUUAUAUGUAUUUUAAAGUGUAAUGCUACCAUAUAAAUUAUGUAUAUUUUAUCCAUAUAUCUAUCUGACACUUACCUAUAUCAUGAAUGAAAAGAGGUUAUACGUAAAAUUCACGUUAUUAUUUUAUUUGCCAUGCAAUUUAGAAUUAAAUCAGGAUGUUGGCAGAAAGCUAGCUAAACCCUUAACUGACAUGUACCCUCUCAGCAAUGUAACUAAGGAUGAUCGCAGUCUGGCACCCAUGCUAGGCAUGUGGUAGAAAGCAUGCCAAUUCUUGGCACAACAUAAAACAGAAGGAAUUUGGUGUAGGACAUCUGGAUAUUUAGUACUUUAUGCAAAAAUACAUAGAUCCUUUAUUUUUCCUUCUCUUUUGACAUUUGUUGUACAAAGUCUUAAAAAUUUAUUCUUUGGAAUACAUAAGUUGGCCAUAUUCAUAUGCUUCUUGAAAAAGCUAUUUUUAAAAAACUUUUAGUUCUAGCAUUUAAUGCUGGAGACCAGUACUACCCACUUGGACUUUGUGCAGUGAUAGACACACUUUAUAUCUGCAAAAUCUAAUAAAGAGAUGACUAGCUACGUGUGUCCAUUGAACACUAGAAAUGUACUUGGUGCAACUGAGGAGCUGAAUUUUCAUUUUUAUUUAGUUUUAAUUCAUUUAAGUUUAGAUAGCCACAUGUGGUUGAUGGUUACCAUACUAGUAAAGCUAUAGGCUAUUAACAGUCUCAGUUUACCAGUGGUUAAGACUAGCUGAAGUAUAAGAUAUUUCUUAAUUACAGAAGGAAAAUUGUCUGAUGAAAUAUUAAGGACCUUUCAUUUACAUGCAUUAUAGUGAUAUUAAAGUAGUUUCAAAAUAGAAUAGCAUAAUAUUAAUAAAUACACAUGAAUAUAUGUUCAUGCACAUAUAGUUUUAUACAUAAAUAUGUGUGUUUAUUCAAACCAGAGAAUUCAUUAAAUCGGAUUAUACAGUAAUAAUAUACAAAAACUGAAAAACUGCUAUAAAAUUUCAUGGCUAGAAACAUGUUCUUGUCAGUAAAUCCGUAAAUAUUGGUACAUACAUAGCAAUAAAGCAUAAUAAACUUAAUGACAAAAUAAGUCCCACCAUAUAUGCAGUACCAAAAAGCAAAAAUGGUACUAUAUUUUCAUGAAUAUUGGUGACUAAAAAGUAAAGCAAUGUAAAAUAGGUUUGAUGAAAUUUCUUUUAAGAUAACCAUAGUUUGCAAAUAAAAUUAAUUUAUCAAAAAGCAGCAGGAACUAUACAUCUAGAUAGUAAUGUUUAAGAGCAUUCAAUGUUGUUCCCUGGAACUCAGAAAAGUAAAUUUCUUCUUAUUAUUAGAUAACUAGUAAAAAGUGAACAAGAGUAUUUACUCUAUGAAUUUUAACCUGUGAGUUUAGUAGUUCUAUAUCUUAAUCUAAAAUUUUAAUAAAAUAGCCCAAAUUUUAUCUCUCCU
Molecule: long non-coding RNA, 4034 nt
Filed under: Homo sapiens (human)
Lineage: Eukaryota; Metazoa; Chordata; Mammalia; Primates; Hominidae
Description: HSALNT0082301
Source: RNAcentral